This is a long non-coding RNA of Sceloporus undulatus (fence lizard), 653 nucleotides long. RefSeq lists it as uncharacterized. NCBI's taxonomy places the organism in Eukaryota, Metazoa, Chordata, Lepidosauria, Squamata, Phrynosomatidae. The record is from RefSeq and is a predicted model, not a curated record. The transcript is spliced from 3 exons.
CUGAGUCUUGUUUCUCAGGACUGGAAGCCAAACUUUGUUUACUUUCAGGGUUUCUUCUUUCCAUUUGAUUUUGUGGAUUUCAAUGGCUUCUCUGUGCAUUCUGACCUGAUAUUUGUUGUUCAGCACUGUGGACAGCUUCUUAAAAGGUAGCCAAGACCUGGAAUAGAUUUACAGCACUGACAUGGGAUUCAUCAUGUGCAAUUGGUUGGAACUAACAACAGGAUUCCAGCAAUUAAGCUCCACCACAGAUAGAUGAGCCUCCUUUAUAUCCACAGCUAUUGCAGAAAGAUUGGACCUUCAGGUGAGGACUCAUUGUUGUUUGACGUCUCUGUGCGACGCUCUGCAGCAUGGAAAGCCUAUGUGGCAAAAUACCUGGCCAGGAGACAAAUUCCAGCUGGCAAAAACUCCUUCUGAGAGCAUGAAUUACCUACAUGUGCAAAAAAAUGUUGCUUCUCAUGAGGAAACCACUGAUUUCUUAGUGGCUGGAAAUAAACUGAGCAGCAGAAGGUGGGUGGAAUUAACAUCAAAUUCAAGCAACUCAGGUGAGUCUUUAAAGGACACAGGACCAGCAAAAAUCCUCACUUUCUUAACCAUUUUGAACUACCUGAACAGUGCCAGGCAGAAUCUGAAAAUAAUAAAGGUAAAAAUCUAAA